AACGAACGCUGGCGGCAUGCCUAACACAUGCCAGUCGAACGAGACCUCCGGGUCUAGUGGCGCUCGGGUGCGUAACGCGUGGGAACCUGCCCUUAGGUUCGGAAUAACUCCCCGAAAGGGGUGCUAAUACCGGAUAAUGUCUUCGGACCAAAGAUUUAUCGCCUUUGGAUGGGCCCGCGUUGGAUUAGCUAGUUGGUAGGGUAAAAGCCUACCAAGGCGACGAUCCAUAGCUGGUCUGAGAGGAUGAUCAGCCACACUGGGACUGAGACACGGCCCAGACUCCUACGGGAGGCAGCAGUGGGGAAUAUUGGACAAUGGGCGAAAGCCUGAUCCAGCAAUGCCGCGUGAGUGAUGAAGGCCUUAGGGUUGUAAAGCUCUUUUACCCGGGAUGAUAAUGACAGUACCGGGAGAAUAAGCUCCGGCUAACUCCGUG
This 433-nucleotide ribosomal RNA is filed under the name uncultured bacterium. RNAcentral's name for it is "partial 16S ribosomal RNA". It matches the Rfam family "Bacterial small subunit ribosomal RNA", at positions 29 to 507 of the family's 1533-position model. The record is from RNAcentral.